GGGCCGGUGGCGCAACUGGCAGCGCGCCUCAAUGGCAUUGAGGAGGUUGUGGGUUCGACCCCCAUCCGGUCCACCC
RNAcentral lists this transfer RNA (76 nucleotides) under Candidatus Shapirobacteria bacterium CG09_land_8_20_14_0_10_49_15. RNAcentral describes it as "tRNA-Ala". It matches the Rfam family "tRNA". From Rfam's summary of the family: Transfer RNA (tRNA) molecules are approximately 80 nucleotides in length. Their secondary structure includes four short double-helical elements and three loops (D, anti-codon, and T loops). Further hydrogen bonds mediate the characteristic L-shaped molecular structure. tRNAs have two regions of fundamental functional importance: the anti-codon, which is responsible for specific mRNA codon recognition, and the 3' end, to which the tRNAs corresponding amino acid is attached (by aminoacyl-tRNA synthetases). tRNAs cope with the degeneracy of the genetic code in two manners: having more than one tRNA (with a specific anti-codon) for a particular amino acid; and 'wobble' base-pairing, i.e. permitting non-standard base-pairing at the 3rd anti-codon position. The record is from RNAcentral. RNAcentral also lists the same sequence under 1 other name. Lineage: Bacteria; Candidatus Shapironibacteriota.